UUUAAAUUCAAUUCAUAUAAAUCAAAUAUUGCUUUAAUGUUUCAUUAUCAUUUAUAAAUGAUUUAAUAUCAUCAAAAUUAGACAUAUAGGACCAUAGGUCCAACAUAGCCCACUGAAGUUUGGCGAAGGACCAGUUCCAGUUUAGCUCAAGUCCACUUAAGAUACACCUAAUAGGGCACAGGUAUCAAAAAUAACGGUGCGAUAUGUUUUUUACUCUUAAGAAAGUAAAGAGCACUAGUAAAUGAAGGACAUAAUAAAAACUGUUGUUGGAAUUACCUUUCGACUCUAAGAAGAUUAAGAAGUGUUUUGUGUAUCACAGAAGGCUUGAGAGAUUUUUGUCUUUUAAUCUUAGGCAUUCGUAUCUAUAGAUCCUCGCAUAUGUGACCACAACUUCUUAUUUCUUUAGCUUUUGAAAGGGGUUUGAACUUCAUAUCCACCAUCUUAAAUUUAUACUGGGCAACUUAUAAUUCUGGUUGUAGGCAUGGUUUUAUUGGUGGAAUCAAUAAUGGUUUUCUUGGUGUCGUCACAUCUCUGUUUCUAAUUGCAGAAUGUACUGGAAAUCUCCAGACGAGGUAGAAAGCAUGGGUGACCAGCAGGCUAUGUUCAUGCUUUUUCCGUAUGUCCCUUUCAUAAUUAGUCUUGCUUGAUCAAAAGCAGAUUGUUCCUCCAAAUUUGUCCCGUGAUUCAUCUGAUGGUGAUAAACAACGAACAAAGGAGCGUGUUUUGCGAAGCUGAAGAUGAAGGAGACACUGGCCGGUCUAUAGCCAGCGAGGCAGAUGCUUGCCCGUGUCUCCUUCAGAACGAAUCUUGUUUUAUCAAUAGAGAGUUCUUCCUCGGUUCAACAAAGGUAAUUUAUGAUAGCUUUAGUAGGUCUGUUCUUUGGUUAUUUUUAUCACAGGAUUCACUGCCUGGGGUGAUAUGGUAAGGUUUUGUGGUUUUCGUUUGUCCGGGAGGUAUUCAGUUAUUCUCCUUGGUAGGUCAGUAAGGCUACUCUUUCGCAGAGUCAGCACAGGAAAAAAACGUCCCGAACUUGAUUUGGGCCUCUUUCAACAGUAUAGUGGGCUGAAAGGCCGAUUUGGUUCAAUUUAUUUGUACCAUUAAACUUCU
Molecule: long non-coding RNA, 1107 nt
Organism: Tripterygium wilfordii
Lineage: Eukaryota; Viridiplantae; Streptophyta; Magnoliopsida; Celastrales; Celastraceae
Exons: 2
Source: RefSeq, a predicted model, not a curated record